This 696-nucleotide unclassified non-coding RNA is filed under the name Hevea brasiliensis (rubber tree). Lineage: Eukaryota; Viridiplantae; Streptophyta; Magnoliopsida; Malpighiales; Euphorbiaceae. The record is from RNAcentral.
AUAAGGCUUUAUAUCUGUAUUUAUGGCUUUAUGCCUGUACUCAUUGCUUGUAUGCCCGAUUAUCUGUUAUCAUGGUUUUUAGUCAUACUGAUCUGUUAUCAUGGCUUUCAGCAAUACUGACUGCAUACGUUGUUGACGUUCCUUAUUUCACGUCCCAUGGCAUGACGGCCCGAGACACCACGGUGUCCAGUACCCACGACCAGUUAUCCUGUUUAGUCAGCCUGUCAUAGGUUAUUUGGGCAGUGAAAUUUAUUGAAAUAAGUUAAGGAUAUUAGCAAUUAAAAAUAUUAGAAAUUAAAUAAAAUAAAUGAGUAAGAUGACCUAAAAUAAAUUAGAAUAGUUAUUUAUUAGAAAGAAUCGAAAUGAACUAGACCGGUAUCAAAAUUUACUUAUUACGAAACAAUCUGAGACAACCUAGAAAGUAUUGAGAAAAUGCUAAAAGAUUAGCAAAGAAAAUUAUAACAUACAUAAAUAUUGCAAAUGUGACUUACAUGAUAAUAUAAGCAUAAAUUUAUCAUUUUUAUAUCUUUUUUCUUUGUACAUUAUUACUAUACAUUGGCGAAAUAAACACUUCCAAAGAAGACUAAAUUAGGAUAAAACAUAUUAAAUUUUAGAAUCGCAUGUGAAGUAUAAAUAAAUCUUAAUUAUUUAAAUUAUGUUUUAUUUCUAUCUUUAUUUGUAUAUUAUUUCCUUGUU